GCGGGCGUAGUUCAAAGGUAGAACGAGAGCUUCCCAAGCUCUAUACGAGGGUUCGAUUCCCUUCGCCCGCUCCA
This 74-nucleotide transfer RNA is filed under the name Escherichia coli. Its description in RNAcentral is "tRNA-Gly". It matches the Rfam family "tRNA". From Rfam's summary of the family: Transfer RNA (tRNA) molecules are approximately 80 nucleotides in length. Their secondary structure includes four short double-helical elements and three loops (D, anti-codon, and T loops). RNAcentral also lists the same sequence under 1 other name. The record is from RNAcentral. Lineage: Bacteria; Pseudomonadati; Pseudomonadota; Gammaproteobacteria; Enterobacterales; Enterobacteriaceae.